GCCUACAGCCAUCCUCCUUGGGCAGGGAUCCCAUCAGAUUUUACAAGCCAGGCAAGGUCAGGCCUGGUGAAAACGUGAUGUGAGUGCCCAGAACAACAAAGGCAGCAGGCA
RNAcentral lists this ribosomal RNA (111 nucleotides) under Erinaceus europaeus (western European hedgehog). Lineage: Eukaryota; Metazoa; Chordata; Mammalia; Eulipotyphla; Erinaceidae. The record is from RNAcentral.